This 440-nucleotide ribosomal RNA is filed under the name uncultured Rahnella sp. RNAcentral's name for it is "bacterial SSU rRNA". It matches the Rfam family "Bacterial small subunit ribosomal RNA", at positions 358 to 789 of the family's 1533-position model. Lineage: Bacteria; Pseudomonadati; Pseudomonadota; Gammaproteobacteria; Enterobacterales; Yersiniaceae. The record is from RNAcentral.
GGAAUAUUGCACAAUGGGCGCAAGCCUGAUGCAGCCAUGCCGCGUGUGUGAAGAAGGCCUUAGGGUUGUAAAGCACUUUCAGCGAGGAGGAAGGCAUCACACUUAAUACGUGUGGUGAUUGACGUUACUCGCAGAAGAAGCACCGGCUAACUCCGUGCCAGCAGCCGCGGUAAUACGGAGGGUGCAAGCGUUAAUCGGAAUUACUGGGCGUAAAGCGCACGCAGGCGGUUUGUUAAGUCAGAUGUGAAAUCCCCGAGCUUAACUUGGGAACUGCAUUUGAAACUGGCAAGCUAGAGUCUUGUAGAGGGGGGUAGAAUUCCAGGUGUAGCGGUGAAAUGCGUAGAGAUCUGGAGGAAUACCGGUGGCGAAGGCGGCCCCCUGGACAAAGACUGACGCUCAGGUGCGAAAGCGUGGGGAGCAAACAGGAUUAGAUACCCCUG